This 497-nucleotide ribosomal RNA is filed under the name uncultured bacterium. Its description in RNAcentral is "partial 16S ribosomal RNA". It matches the Rfam family "Bacterial small subunit ribosomal RNA", at positions 28 to 507 of the family's 1533-position model. The record is from RNAcentral.
GAUGAACGCUGGCGGCGUGCCUAAUACAUGCAAGUCGAGCGAACAGACGAGGAGCUUGCUCCUUCGACGUUAGCGGCGGACGGGUGAGUAACACGUAGGUAACCUACCUAUAAGACUGGGAUAACUUCGGGAAACCGGAGCUAAUACCGGAUAAUAUUUCUAACCGCAUGGUUCGAUAGUGAAAGAUGGCUUUGCUAUCACUUAUAGAUGGACCUGCGCCGUAUUAGCUAGUUGGUAAGGUAACGGCUUACCAAGGCAACGAUACGUAGCCGACCUGAGAGGGUGAUAGGCGACACUGGAACUGAGACACGGUCCAGACGCCUACGGGAGGCAGCAGUAGGGACUAUUCAGCAAUGGGCGAAAGUCUGACGGAGCAACGCCGAGUGAGUGAUGAAGGUCUUCGGAUCGUAAAACUCUGUUAUUAGGGAAGAACAAAUGUGUAAGUAACUAUGCACGUCUCGACGGUACCUAAGCAGAAAGCCACGGCUAACUACGUG